Girardinichthys multiradiatus is the source of this 1517-nucleotide long non-coding RNA. RefSeq lists it as uncharacterized. Lineage: Eukaryota; Metazoa; Chordata; Actinopteri; Cyprinodontiformes; Goodeidae. The transcript has 3 exons. The record is from RefSeq and is a predicted model, not a curated record.
GUGAAUGGGAGGCAGGCUGUGUUUAUUUUCUUGUAAAACUACAUAAACUCGUUUAAUAAAGCGUUCAGAUCGAGGGACAGACCAAAGUGUAUUUACAAUAAGAAAAAUCACGUGUGAUUCACAGCCUUUGCCAAGAUACUCAAAAUUGUGCUCAGGUGUAUCCUGUCUCCUCUGAUCAUCCUUCAGAUGUGUCUACAUCUCAACUGGAGCCCAUCUGUUAUACAUUCAUUUGACAUAGCAGAAACCAAGCAACGAGGUCAAAGGAAUAUUUAGAAAAGGAAGAAGUUUGAGACCACCUGAAUCCUCCCUGUAUCUGCCUGACCUUGGUCACUUAGGCAAGGCUCCAGUGGUCGCUUGUGGAGAUACAACCAUCCAGAAGAGUGAACACCCGGUUUCCAUUACGUCGGGCCGGCCGGGUUCCAUCAGCUACACCACAAACCUCCUGUCUCCACUCAGGCUCCACCCAGCGUCGCCACAGGCUUCCCAGAAAAGAAAAGCAUCUAAUUAAAAAGAAAAAACUUUAAUUAUGUUCAUCUCAUCUCUGUCUCUCAAUGAGAGAAUUAAACGACUGUAUACAAACACGUUCAUUUGGUGGACGAGAGUGAAAGAGAGGGAAGAUGUUUUUCUUAUAUAUAUAUAUAUAUAUAUAUAUAUAUAUAUAUAUAUAUAUAUAUAUAUAUAUAUAUGCAGAAUGGCUUUUAAUCAGUUGCUGAUAUUCAUGAGGCAUAAUGUCGUCCUCUCUGCCUGAGCACCAUCUGGAAAUUCUUCUGCUUUUUAACAGACUUCAUGAUCUGUCUUCUACUUUUAUGAUUUGAAAAAGCGAUAAAUCAUCUUCCAAAUGUGCAUCUCCACUUACUGUCCUCUACAGGCGUGCUGCUGGCCCAUUAAACUGAUUUGUGGAGCAGAGGCAGUUGUAAACUAACACUGGAUUACAACUCAUCUUCAGAGGGAGUGUCUCUUAGGAAUGUUCCUGGUAUUUCACUCAUCACCUUGAACACAGGAGCUCCUAUCUGACCUGCUUCCUCCAGGUUUAUAAACUGUGACCCCGUGUGUCCACAGACAGGGUCCGUCUUUGUUGAUCGGCAUGACUCUGACCUGCAGAGUCACAUGGCUGGAGGUGGGUUAUCGGGCCAUCUCGACCUGCCUGCUGGAACCAUUGUUUAGUCCCGGACCAGAUAUUCCGGCUGCAAGAUUACCAUCGCAUCACUCCUCAGUGGGGAGUCCAGGCCUCGCAACCCCUCUGUGCAGGCUGCCUUUCUGACUCUUAUCUCUUCCACCUGCACUGUUUUCUCCACAACCAUGAGCUCCUCACCUCCAUUCUUCCUUCUAUCUCCAUCUUUUCGUCCAGAAACCUGCUGAGGAUACUUUAUUUAUUCCUGCAGGAGAUCUUAUUCUGCAGCACGAGCAGAUAUUUAAUCUAGAGCUGUGACAAAGCCACACAUCUGAAUGGAAAUGAGCUUAUACUAAAAUAUUGUUACAGUAAUCACAUGUAAUAAAAAUACUGUUUGAGAAUAUCA